RNAcentral lists this ribosomal RNA (253 nucleotides) under uncultured bacterium. RNAcentral's name for it is "partial 16S ribosomal RNA". It matches the Rfam family "Bacterial small subunit ribosomal RNA", at positions 524 to 776 of the family's 1533-position model. The record is from RNAcentral.
GACGUAGGGCGCGAGCGUUGUCCGGAUUUAUUGGGCGUAAAGAGCUCGUAGGCGGCUUGUCGCGUCGACUGUGAAAACUCGGGGCUCAACUCCGAGCUUGCAGUCGAUACGGGCAAGCUAGAGUUCGGUAGGGGAGACUGGAAUUCCUGGUGUAGCGGUGAAAUGCGCAGAUAUCAGGAGGAACACCGGUGGCGAAGGCGGGUCUCUGGGCCGAUACUGACGCUGAGGAGCGAAAGCGUGGGGAGCGAACAGG